CCCCGGGCCUGCCUCAGUAGCGGCGAGUGAAGCGGCAAGAGCUCAGAUUUGAAAUCGCCUCGGCGAGUUGUAAAUUGCAGGUUGGAGUCUUUGUGGCGGCGUGUGUCUAAGUCCCUUGGAACAGGGCGCCAUUGAGGGUGAGAGCCCCGUGCGGCACGCGUCCAAGCUUUAAGACCCUUCUGACGAGUCGAGUUGUUUGGGAAUGCAGCUCUAAGUGGGUGGUAAAUUCCAUCUAAGGCUAAAUACUGGCGAGAGACCGAUAGCGAACAAGUACUGUGAAGGAAAGAUGAAAAGCACUUUGAAAAGAGAGUGAAACAGCACGUGAAAUUGUUGAAAGGGAAGGGUAUUGGGCUCGACAUGGGGACUGCGCACCGUUGCUUCUUGUAGGCGGCGCUCUGUGCGGUUUCUGGGCCAGCAUCAGUUUUUGCCGCGGGAGAAUGGGGGGAGGAACGUGGCUCUUCGGAGUGUUAUAGCCUCUCUCAGAUGCCGCGAGCGGGGACUGAGGUCUGCGAUUCGUUCAAGGAUGCUGGCACAACGGCGCAAUACCGCCCGUCUUAAAAAACCGGACCAAAAGGGGGCGUCUCGUACCAAAACAAGGAAAUUAAAAAUUAAAAGGAAAA
RNAcentral lists this ribosomal RNA (620 nucleotides) under Pichia terricola. Its description in RNAcentral is "eukaryotic LSU rRNA". It matches the Rfam family "Eukaryotic large subunit ribosomal RNA", at positions 65 to 664 of the family's 3401-position model. Lineage: Eukaryota; Fungi; Ascomycota; Pichiomycetes; Pichiales; Pichiaceae. The record is from RNAcentral.